AUACGUAGGGAGCAAGCGUUGUCCGGAUUUACUGGGUGUAAAGGGUGCGUAGGCGGCAGCACAAGUCAGGUGUGAAAACUAUGGGCCUAACCCAUAGAUUGCACUUGAAACUGUGAUGCUUGAGUGAAGUAGAGGCAAGCGGAAUUCCCGGUGUAGCGGUGAAAUGCGUAGAGAUCGGGAGGAACACCAGUGGCGAAGGCGGCUUGCUGGGCUUUAACUGACGCUGAGGCACGAAAGCGUGGGUAGCAAACAGGAUUAGAUACCCUGGUAGUCCAUGCUGUAAACGAUGAUUACUAGGUGUGGGUGGACUGACCCCAUCCGUGCCGGAGUUAACACAAUAAGUAAUCCACCUGGGAAGUACGACCGCAAGGUUGAA
Molecule: ribosomal RNA, 376 nt
Filed under: uncultured bacterium
Lineage: Bacteria
Description: bacterial SSU rRNA
Rfam family: Bacterial small subunit ribosomal RNA
Source: RNAcentral